AAACGCAAAACAUGUAUCUAUAUACACAGAUGCAUUACUUGAAUAUUUAUAAGUAGGACUAACGAUUGGAAUACAGAUACAAGCGAUUUACAUGCUAAGAAGCGUUGAAGCGAUUAAACCGUAAUUGGUCGAUUGUAAUAGUUCAAUUUUAGCACGUUAUUGCCAGUUAGUGGUCACGCAUAUGCAUGCGAAGGUGUUUUCUAUUUCUAUGCACGGAACAAUGUUAAAGGUGGAGAAUGUUAAUCAAAGUAUCGAACGAGUUCAUCAUCGUGCCAGUCAUAAAUACCACCAAGUUUACGAUCUCUCCGAGAAGAAAAGAAUUUGCAAAAGCACAAAUGGUGUUUAACUCUCAUCACGGAGCUUUGAAGACGAUGAUUAGAACCUUUACGGAUGGAAAAAUCGAAAGAAAACAAGUGAAAGUUGGCGUAAAAAUUACGCGGUGCGCACUUUGCGGAUGCAAAAAAAAAAAAAAAAAAAAAAGAAGAAGAAGAACGCGAUUUUACUCGAUAACUAGAAACGAGAUCAUCGAUUCAUUCGCUUCGUUGAAGUGCAAUUUUCCAGGAACGAUUACAUACAUACGUUUCGAGACGGAUUUAUUUCAUUAAGUUGAUCGAAAUAAAGGAUUCUUUAAAUAAGAAUAAAAAUCAAGGAUUGAAUUAAAAAUCAAUGAAAGUGGCUCAAGGAAAUUUUUCAUCUUAUCUUUACAUCUAUACUAUUAAACUAUUGACUACUGAACACAUAGUAAGAAACACCUUGAAAUUUUUUGAUCUCUUGAUGAAACUUGGAAAUCAUUGGCCAGAUUAUAUCACAGUAGCAGUGAACGGCGUACAAGUUUACCUUCGAAAAGUCAAGUUCACGCAUAAGUGCGUAAGUGGCAAUCCGCUGUCGAGGCUGGCAGAAAAUUACGAGAAAACGCUUACUGACACUGCGAAAUCUCUGUCUGCUUGUUUAUUUAUGAAAUCAGUCCAUGUCAAAUUAUAAUAUGGUAUAAUAGUAACCGAUCCCGAGCAAAUAUAUGUAUAUUCGAGAAAAGAGGAAAAUUGCACAUGUGAUUUGUUCGUUGCACAAAUUGGAAUGAUAAUAACAGUUGUUUAAUACUGUUAUGUUGUAAAAUUAUGUAAAAAUAUUCUUAACCAGUUGAUGAAUGCAUUUUUUGUUAAGUUGUAUAAAAUCAAUCGAAACUUUCGGAUUAAACGAAGUUGAAAGAUCGAAAAGAUCUUCAUGCUCCAAUUUUUAUGAACAUCGUUGAGUGAUUAAGCUUUAAAUAUCGCUUCAUUGGCUGUUCAGGUCUGUUGGUUGAAGUCAAACAAAGUGGUACGGUUUCCCUCGCAAGCAAUCGAAACAGCUUCUCGAAAUUACUUAGAAAACUUGGGAAAUAUCAAUUAAAAUAUUCACAAUUCAGUGAAUUUUUCAACCGAUGUGUCAAGAGUUUUGGAUCUUCAAGAGGAUUGCAAAGUAUUUUUCGAAGAAUUGUUAUUAUUUUUAAUUAAUUUAAUUUCUUUUUUGCAGGAAUUUGUUCAUCCUUUAAAAUUUCUCUACUUUUUCAUUGGGAAGGAGUUCUAAUAUAUUAAGAUAAAAAAAAAUUGAAAAACAUUAAUUUUUUUCUAAUUUCCCUUAUUUUAUACGAAGAUUGAAGCGUCGUAAAUAAUUCGAAUAUAAAUAACAACUCGAAAAACACUGAAAAGAAUUUUUACUGUACUUCAAAUAAGGAAAUGUCCAUUAGUAAAAUGAUAAAAUUCAAUGCCAUUAUUAUGCCAUCGAAUAAAUAUAAAAUUUAAUAUUAUUCCUCAAAAUAAAAAAAUAAUUUUAAUAAUAAUUCUAAUAAGAAUAUUCAUACACGGAUCCUCAUCGAUCACGAAUCAACCCAAUAUAAUAUACUCAACAGAUACCAAUAGAUAGCUCAUCAACGAUCAUUCAAUAAUAUCUUAAAUAAUAUCUUUUAUCCAGUCAAAGAUCACGAUAGAACGGUAAAAGGAUUGAUGGGAUCCUGGAUUCGAAGCUACUUUCCAACAGGCAUACUUUAUAUGCUUCAUCGAUUGAACUCAAACUUUACUUACAUAUUACCAUAUAUAUCUUUUAGUUUAUCAUUUAUGCUGAUCGAAUGGAAAUUUGUAUCGAUUAAAGUAUACUUUGGAAUUCUUUUUCAUCUUAUCGGUAAAUAAAAAAAGGAAAAGGAAAAAAAGCUACAAAAAUACUUUGAAUAAGGUGGAGGGCAAACGUUGCGAUCGUUCCACCGUGUCGGAAUCACGUAGUUCUAAUUCGACGCCAUGACGACCCAGUUCUCGGAUAUUUUAUGCCGUUUCUUUGGAUUGUCGGUUACAUCUCGUAUCUCGUAUGAUUUGAAUAAAUAUCCUUCACGUUUGAUACGUGAUUAAAGAUAAAAAUAAAAUUAUAAAAGCAGGUAUUCGAACUUGG
Long non-coding RNA from Apis laboriosa (Himalayan honeybee), 2415 nucleotides. RefSeq lists it as uncharacterized. The record is from RefSeq and is a predicted model, not a curated record. The transcript is spliced from 6 exons. Lineage: Eukaryota; Metazoa; Arthropoda; Insecta; Hymenoptera; Apidae.